ACGGGCCGGGGCGAUAGCGGUGCCUUGUACCUGCAACCCGCUCAGCAGGGGUCAUACCGUUUUUAAGGGCAGCUCCGUUCGGUCUGUGCCGCACCCUCCGUUCGUUGACGGGCGGGUCCCUCCGCAACUGAAAUCCACGAACCAUGUCAGGUGGGGAACCAAGCAGCAUUAAGAGGACUCUUCGGUGUGUUGGAGGGGUGCCUGCUCCGAGUGCGG
RNAcentral lists this signal recognition particle RNA (216 nucleotides) under bovine gut metagenome. Its description in RNAcentral is "Bacterial large signal recognition particle RNA". It matches the Rfam family "Bacterial large signal recognition particle RNA", at positions 6 to 217 of the family's 256-position model. Rfam says of the family: The signal recognition particle (SRP) is a universally conserved ribonucleoprotein involved in the co-translational targeting of proteins to membranes. Archaeal SRP consists of a 7S RNA and homologues of the eukaryotic SRP19 and SRP54 proteins. In most bacteria, the SRP consists of a 4.5S RNA and the Ffh protein (a homologue of the eukaryotic SRP54 protein). The record is from RNAcentral.